This 255-nucleotide ribosomal RNA is filed under the name uncultured bacterium. Its description in RNAcentral is "partial 16S ribosomal RNA". It matches the Rfam family "Bacterial small subunit ribosomal RNA", at positions 524 to 776 of the family's 1533-position model. The record is from RNAcentral.
GACAGAGGCCUCGAGCGUUAGGCGGAAUCACUGGGCUUAAAGCGUGUGUAGGCGGAUCGUUAAGUGUCUUCGGUGAAAUCCCCCGGCUCACCCGGGGAACUGCUGGGCAUACUGGCGAUCUUGGGCCGUUCAGGGGCGACUGGAACAAGCGGUGGAGCGGUGAAAUGCGUAGAUAUCGCUUGGAACGCCGAAGGUGAAAACAGGUCGCUGGGGACGCGCCGACGCUGAGACACGAAAGCCAGGGGAGCAAACGGG